Molecule: ribosomal RNA, 460 nt
Filed under: uncultured bacterium
Lineage: Bacteria
Description: partial 16S ribosomal RNA
Rfam family: Bacterial small subunit ribosomal RNA
Source: RNAcentral
CCUACGGGAGGCAGCAGUGAGGAAUAUUGGUCAAUGGCCGGAAGGCUGAACCAGCCAAGCCGCGUGAAGGACGAAGGUGCCAAGCAUUGUAAACUUCUUUUGUCAAGGGACAAAAUCAGGCUCGAGAGCCUGACCGAGGGUACUUGAAGAAAAAGCAUCGGCUAACUCCGUGCCAGCAGCCGCGGUAAUACGGAGGAUGCGAGCGUUAUCCGGAUUUAUUGGGUGUAAAGGGCGUGUAGCCGGGAAGGCAAGUCAGAUGUGAAAUCUGGAGGCUCAACCUCCAAAUUGCAUUUGAAACUGUUUUUCUUGAGUACUGGAGAGGCAGACGGAAUUCCUUGUGUAGCGGUGAAAUGCGUAGAUAUAAGGAGGAACACCAGUGGCGAAGGCGGUCUUCUGGACAGCAACUGACGGUGAGGCGCGAAAGCGUGGGGAGCAAACAGGAUUAGAUACCCCAGUAGUC